Peromyscus maniculatus bairdii (prairie deer mouse) is the source of this 1594-nucleotide non-coding RNA. Lineage: Eukaryota; Metazoa; Chordata; Mammalia; Rodentia; Cricetidae. The record is from RefSeq and is a predicted model, not a curated record.
UCAGAGGUGAUCAGGGCAACUGCAGAGAUGAGACUAACAGAGAUGUAUGUCUCUGAUUGAAAAGGAAAUGAUACAACAGGAGGUGGAACCAAGGAGAAACCAUUUAAAACAGGCUUAAAGGCUUUGAUGACAGUUGGAAAAGAGCUGUUUCCCACCAUUUAUGUGGAUUCACAAAAGGAAGAUGAGAGGUGGGCUGUCAUUUCCAAGUCACAAAUGAAGAACAUUAAAAAGAUAAGGCACAGAGAACAGUUGAACAAUUAUUCUUGGGAGAAGAAAGAGGCAGAAUAUUCCUUACAAAGAGAAAAGAACCAGGAAGAAGCAAAGAAAAUUAUCAUAAAAAAUGACCUGAGCCUGCCAGACCCAGCAUCUUUAAAUAUUUGUGCAUUAGGAGGAUAUAGAGGCCAAAGAGUGAAGGUGUCUGGCUGGGUCCACAGAUUUUGUAGGCAAAGACAGAAUUUGAUGUUUCUGGUAUUGCAUGAUGGUGUAGGCUAUCUUCAGUGUGUCUUGUCAGCCGACUUGUGUCAGUGUUACAAUGGAGUAGUCUUUGUCUACUGAGAGUAGUGAGGCAGUAUGUGAAAUAUAUACUAACUACAUAACCUGAUAAAUGAAUCUGAGGUAGAUGUCCAGCUCAGCAACUGGCACAUGAUUAUCCAAGGAGUGAACAUGUCCAAAAUCUUGAAAGCACAGUCCAUGAUCACCAGGUGCCUUAGGAAUCACUUCUUCGACAGGGGUACAGUGAAGUUACUACUCUAACACUGGUGCAGACAUAGGUAGAAGGUGGGGCCAUACUCUUCAAGCUUGACUAUUUUGGAGAAGAAGCGUUUUUGACCCAGUCCACACAGUUAUACCUGGAGACCUACCUUCUAGCCCUGGGGUAUAUUUUCGUGUUUCCAAGUCAUACAGGGUAAAACAGUCCAGAACAUGAAGGCACGUGGUUGAAUUCACUCAUGUGGAAGUCAAGUGUCCCUUGUUGACCACUGAGGACUUCCUGAACCAUUUAGAGGACCUAGUGUGUGAAAUGGUGGACAGAGUCUGGAAGUCACCAAUGGCAAGCAUAGUGCCUCAGCUUGAACUUUAAAACCCUAAACAGUUUUUCAGAUAGAUGAACUAUUCAGAUGCCAUCAGGUGGCUGAGGGAGCAUGAUGUAAAGAAAGAAGAUGGGAUGCUCUAUGAAUCUGGAGAGGAUAUUCCUGAAGCUCCUGAGAGAUUGAUGAUAGACACCAUUAAUGAACCAAUCCUGCUAUGUCAAUUUCCUGUGGAAAUCAAGUUCUAUACCCAGGGAUGUCCUGAGGAUCCUCAAAUUAACUCAGUCUGUUGACAUGUUGUUGCCCAAUGUUGGUGGGAUUGUGGGCAGCUUUAUAAGCUCUUGGGACAGUGAAGAAAUUCUAGAAGGCUAUAAAAGGGAAGGAAUUGACCCCGCUCCUUAUUACUUGUAUACAGAUGAGAGAAAAUAUGAUACAUGUCCUCAUGAGGCACAAGGAACCUGAAAACAGGCUCCCACAGGCUUGGAAAGAUUCCUGAGUUGGAUUCUAACAGGUAGCACAUCCAAGAUGUAUGCUCAUACCUUCAAUUAGUCCAGCACUGCAGGCCAUAA